UGCGUAGGCGGUUAUAUUAGUCGGGUGUUAAAUCCAAGGGCUCAACCUUUGGCUCGCAUUCGAAACGGUAUAACUAGAAGAUGUGAGAGGUAAGCAGAACUCUCGGUGUAGGGGUGAAAUCCGUUGAUAUCGAGGGGAAUACCAAAUGCGAAGGCAGCUUACUGGCACAUUCUUGACGCUGAGGCACGAAAGCGUGGGUAGCGAACG
This 207-nucleotide ribosomal RNA is filed under the name uncultured bacterium. RNAcentral describes it as "partial 16S ribosomal RNA". It matches the Rfam family "Bacterial small subunit ribosomal RNA", at positions 568 to 774 of the family's 1533-position model. The record is from RNAcentral.